This 472-nucleotide ribosomal RNA is filed under the name uncultured organism. RNAcentral describes it as "partial 16S ribosomal RNA". It matches the Rfam family "Bacterial small subunit ribosomal RNA", at positions 332 to 796 of the family's 1533-position model. The record is from RNAcentral.
UACACUCCUGCGGGAGGCAGCAGUGGGGAAUUUUGGACAAUGGGCGAAAGCCUGAUCCAGCCAUGCCGCGUGCAGGAUGAAGGCCUUCGGGUUGUAAACUGCUUUUGUACGGAACGAAACGGCCUUUUCUAAUAAAGAGGGCUAAUGACGGUACCGUAAGAAUAAGCACCGGCUAACUACGUGCCAGCAGCCGCGGUAAUACGUAGGGUGCAAGCGUUAAUCGGAAUUACUGGGCGUAAAGCGUGCGCAGGCGGUUAUGUAAGACAGUUGUGAAAUCCCCGGGCUCAACCUGGGAACUGCAUCUGUGACUGCAUAGCUAGAGUACGGUAGAGGGGGAUGGAAUUCCGCGUGUAGCAGUGAAAUGCGUAGAUAUGCGGAGGAACACCGAUGGCGAAGGCAAUCCCCUGGACCUGUACUGACGCUCAUGCACGAAAGCGUGGGGAGCAAACAGGAUUAGAAACCCCGGUAGUCC